UGGGGAAUAUUGGACAAUGGGCGCAAGCCUGAUCCAGCCAUGCCGCGUGAGUGACGAAGGUCUUCGGAUUGUAAAGCUCUUUUGGCGGGGACGAUAAUGACGGUACCCGCAGAAUAAGCCCCGGCUAACUUCGUGCCAGCAGCCGCGGUAAUACGAAGGGGGCUAGCGUUGUUCGGAAUUACUGGGCGUAAAGCGCACGUAGGCGGACUGAUAAGUCAGGGGUGAAAUCCCGGGGCUCAACCUCGGAACUGCCUUUGAUACUGUUAGUCUCGAGUCCGGAAGAGGUGAGUGGAAUUCCUAGUGUAGAGGUGAAAUUCGUAGAUAUUAGGAAGAACACCAGUGGCGAAGGCGGCUCACUGGUCCGGUACUGACGCUGAGGUGCGAAAGCGUGGGGAGCAAACAGGAUUAGAUACCCACGUAGUCCCUGAGCGGGCUGGCAAGGCGCAU
This 447-nucleotide ribosomal RNA is filed under the name uncultured bacterium. Its description in RNAcentral is "bacterial SSU rRNA". It matches the Rfam family "Bacterial small subunit ribosomal RNA", at positions 355 to 825 of the family's 1533-position model. The record is from RNAcentral.